CCUACGGGCGGCAGCAGUGGGGGAUAUUGCACAAUGGGGGAAACCCUGAUGCAGCGACGCCGCGUGAGUGAAGAAGUAUUUCGGUAUGUAAAGCUCUAUCAGCAGGGAAGUAAAUGACAGUACCUGACCAAGACGCCACGGCUAACUACGUGCCCGAAGCCGCGGUAAUACGUCGGGGGCAAGCGUUAUCCGGAUUUCCUGGGUGUAAAGGGAGCGUAGUCGGUUAUUUAAGUCUGUAGUGAAAGCCCGGGGCCCAACCCCGAGACUGCUUUUGAAACUGUGUAACUGGAGUACAGAAGGGGCAGGCGGAAUUCGUGGUGUAGCGGUGAAAUGCGUAGAUAUCAGGAGGAACACCGGCGGCGAAGGCGGCCUGCUGGACUGAAACUGACGUUGAGGCUCGAAAGCGUGGGGAGCAAACAGGAUUAGAUACCCUUGUAGUC
This 440-nucleotide ribosomal RNA is filed under the name uncultured bacterium. RNAcentral's name for it is "partial 16S ribosomal RNA". It matches the Rfam family "Bacterial small subunit ribosomal RNA", at positions 338 to 795 of the family's 1533-position model. The record is from RNAcentral.